GAUGAAGAACGCAGCGAAAUGCGAUAAGUAAUGUGAAUUGCAGAAUUCAGUGAAUCAUCGAAUCUUUGAACGCACAUUGCGCCCGCCAGUAUUCUGGCGGGCAUGCCUGUUCGAGCGUCAUUUCAACCAUCAAGCCCGGCUUGUGUGUUGGGUCUCGUCCCCCUUCCCGGGGGGACGGGCCCGAAAGGCAGCGGCGGCACCGCGUCCGGUCCUCGAGCGUAUGGGGCUUUGUCACCCGCUCUGUAGGCCCGGCCGGCGCUUGCCGAUCAACCAAAACUUUUUUCCAGGUUGACCUCGGAUCAGGUAGGGAUACCCGCUGAACUUAAGCAUAUCAAUAAGCGGAGGA
RNAcentral lists this unclassified non-coding RNA (346 nucleotides) under soil metagenome. Its description in RNAcentral is "partial contains 5.8S ribosomal RNA, internal transcribed spacer 2, and large subunit ribosomal RNA". The stretch from base 1 to 120 matches the Rfam family "5.8S ribosomal RNA", at positions 35 to 154 of the family's 154-position model. The record is from RNAcentral.